Long non-coding RNA from Drosophila innubila, 193 nucleotides. RefSeq lists it as uncharacterized. Lineage: Eukaryota; Metazoa; Arthropoda; Insecta; Diptera; Drosophilidae. The record is from RefSeq and is a predicted model, not a curated record. The transcript is spliced from 2 exons.
CGGUGAUAAAAAGCAGCAGCACCGUCAUCAAAAGAUAUUCUGCAAAAAUUAUGUUUAAAUUAAUGUCAAGAUGACCCCUUUUCGAGGCAGUAUUCGAUCCAUCCGCUCGUUGUUGUCGGCACAAUGCAAAAGAUUCCAAUAGCAACACUACAAGCGAUAUCUUCCAAUAAAGCUGUUAAAUAAUGGUUCUUGA